GUGCCAGCCGCCGCGGUAAUACGUAGGGUCCGAGCGUUGUCCGGAGUUACUGGGCGUAAAGCGCGCGCAGGCGGCCCGCCAAGACCGGCGUGAAAGCCCCCGGCUCAACCGGGGAGGGUCGUCGGUGACUGGCGGGCUCGAGGACGGCAGGGGUCGGUGGAAUGCCCGGUGUAGUGGUGAAAUGCGUAGAGAUCGGGCGGAACACCCGUGGCGAAGGCGGCCGACUGGGCCGGUCCUGACGCUGAGGCGCGAAGGCGUGGGGAGCGAACGGGAUUAGAAACCCUGGUAGUCC
This 292-nucleotide ribosomal RNA is filed under the name uncultured bacterium. RNAcentral describes it as "partial 16S ribosomal RNA". It matches the Rfam family "Bacterial small subunit ribosomal RNA", at positions 505 to 796 of the family's 1533-position model. The record is from RNAcentral.